This is a long non-coding RNA of Xiphophorus hellerii (green swordtail), 429 nucleotides long. RefSeq lists it as uncharacterized. NCBI's taxonomy places the organism in Eukaryota, Metazoa, Chordata, Actinopteri, Cyprinodontiformes, Poeciliidae. The transcript is spliced from 2 exons. The record is from RefSeq and is a predicted model, not a curated record.
CUUUAAAAUCUAUCCCAAAAAUAUCUAGGUACCGCGCACGCCCACUGGAGGUAGCCAAGAAACAAUUGGGUUUCAACUUGCGGUGUUUCUUUCUCUUUAUCUACUAUUGGCUGUUAAACCAUAAUUCCUUAAUUUUGUGGGAAUAAAUGCAAUAAAUGUAUAAAAACUCUUACAACUGUUUUUUUUGUUUGUUUUUUUUUUUUUGCUCCAGAGGCGGUUCAAGUGUGGCUGGCGCCCUAAGCAAGUCUCGACUCUGAGCACAUCGUUUCCCCCACAUCGGUGUUGAUGGAUGGACAAGUGGGUGAAAGAAUGAAGGCGUGAUGAUGGACAAACAGAUAAAAGGACAAAAAAAAAAGGAUGGAUGGAUCAGCAGAUGAAUGAACAAAACGAUGGUUGAUGGGUGGACGACUGAAUAAAAUCUAAACAUGC